GAUCAUGGCUCAGAAUGAACGCUGGUGGCAUGCCUAACACAUGCAAGUCGAACGAAGGCUUCGGCCUUAGUGGCGCACGGGUGCGUAACGCGUGGGAAUCUGCCCUUGGGUUCGGAAUAACAGUUAGAAAUGACUGCUAAUACCGGAUGAUGUCGUAAGACCAAAGAUUUAUCGCCCAAGGAUGAGCCCGCGUAGGAUUAGCUAGUUGGUGAGGUAAAAGCUCACCAAGGCGACGAUCCUUAG
This 243-nucleotide ribosomal RNA is filed under the name uncultured bacterium. RNAcentral's name for it is "partial 16S ribosomal RNA". It matches the Rfam family "Bacterial small subunit ribosomal RNA", at positions 15 to 286 of the family's 1533-position model. The record is from RNAcentral.